GCCCGAUGAACCUGAAUAUCCGUUAUGGAAAAUUCAUCAUUAAAAUUGUAAUAUUUAAAUAAUAUUAUUAAGAAUAAUGUGCAUUUUUUCCAUAUAAGGACAUUGUAAUCUAUUAGCAUAUCCCAAAUUUAUCAUAAAAUAUAACUUAUAGUUUAUUCCAAUUAAAUUGCUUGCAUUUUAACACAGAAUAAAUGUUAUUAAUUUGAUAAAGUGCUGAUAGAUUUAUAUUAUUACAGAGCGUUAAUUUUUCGGAAUUAUAUAAUGGCAUAAUUAUCAUUGAUUUUUGUGUUUAUUAUAUGCUCUUGUAUGAUUAACAAUGCGAAAGAUUCAGGAUACUUCGGG
RNAcentral lists this ribosomal RNA (342 nucleotides) under Drosophila mauritiana. RNAcentral describes it as "eukaryotic LSU rRNA". Lineage: Eukaryota; Metazoa; Arthropoda; Insecta; Diptera; Drosophilidae. The record is from RNAcentral. RNAcentral also lists the same sequence under 2 other names.